UGCCUUUGUGUUGCCCAUUCAUUCCCUUCUGAAAUGAAUGUUGUCAAAAAAGGCAGACAAGAAUUCUUGCUCAAAUUGUUUAAGGAGUUGUUUAUUUGCCUUUCUCCCUGUUUUUGCAAGGACAAAA
This is a small nucleolar RNA of Cygnus atratus (black swan), 127 nucleotides long. RefSeq annotates it as small nucleolar RNA SNORA13. The transcript has a single exon. NCBI's taxonomy places the organism in Eukaryota, Metazoa, Chordata, Aves, Anseriformes, Anatidae. The record is from RefSeq and is a predicted model, not a curated record.